UUCAUAGUCUCAAAGUAUCUUUCCCAAAAAUCCACAGUAGAGAUGCCUCUUGGUCACAUGAUCAAGGCCACCAUCACCAAAACACACAAAUUGAAAAACUGUACCAUUUGAUAAGAUGCCCUGAGACGGACAUGUCAUCUCUGCUUUCUAGUAACACAGAGUCUUGAUCUGAUCACUAGAAACCUCAGACAAACUCAACUAAAGUGUUGUUCUAUAAAAUGCCUCACCAAUAUUCUUCAAACGUGUCAAGGUCAUGAAAGUCAAGGAAAGACUGAGGAACUGUCACAAAUUGCAGGAGACUGAAGAGACAAGGUGACAAAAUGUAACAUGGAAUCUUGGAACAGAAAAAGGACAUUAGUGGAAAAAAAAACUGGUGAAACCAAAAUAAGUUCUGUACUUUACUGAAUAGCAUUACAUAAAGGUUAAUGUCUCAGUUUUGAAUGACUAUUCUAUGAUCAUAUAAGAUAUUGAUUGAAGAGAGAUAGGAUGAAGAAUACAUGGAAACUCUACUAUUUUUGAAGCUCUCCUUUAAGUCAAAAAUUAUUUCAAAAGAUUAAGAGAAAGUCCCACUGAUAACAAUAAUAAAAAAUGGUAGUGAUUAGUAAAUGAAUGGCAUCAUGCAGCAGACACUAAUUUCAUUUAAUGUUACCUAAUAGAAUUCAUUUGUUCCUUUUUAAGAAAAGUGUUUAUAAAGGAAAGUGAGAAAAAACACUGUUUAUUGAUUCAUUAUGCUUCUUAUACUUCACUGAUCUUCAAUGGACAUGGGCCAGCCCUCUCGACUUUCCCCAUACACAGCUCUACCGCCCAUUGCUCAUCCAUGCCCCUGGUUUCAAAUAGGGAGAAUCAGAACUCAGGCCAAAUCCCUUCCUUAUUAAUUAUUUCCAAAAGAGAGAGAAUCAGAACAUGAUCUAGUCUGCGGGGACUUUCCUGAUUCCUAAUUAUGACAGCAGCUGAGUUGAGGCUGCCUUCCAAGGAGAACCCACUAAUUCAGUCUGUGGUGGGCCCAGAUAGCAGAAGGUGAGGGAUCUGAUCUAGCUGGAUCCUAAAAUGAUGGAAGAAAGAGGAAGAUGUUUCCCCUUGAGCCCAGGAGACCAGCAAGGAGGCAGCUGCUCCAGGUCAUUGGCUGGUCUCCUGUCCUUGGCUCUCGGACAGGCAAUGGCAUUAAGUUUCUCACUCUAAGAACACUAGACCCUUGACAUCAAGGCCUUCUGAAGAGAUAAACAAGUGAAGUGAUAAGUUCCAUUCUCCUUGUUGUGCCCUUUUGUUCUCUCCUGAAAAGUCACAGAAGACCUUAAGAAGCAGCUGAUAAAGGAGCAAAGAGGUUUCUCAUCGUGUGAAUGCCUGGGCAUCCUCAAAUGUGAAUAUUGCUUCUGACACUAUUACAUGUUCCAUACUUCAAAGCAUUCACAUCUGUCUUCAGAUUGCAGCCCACUUACAGGUGAGGAAAUGGGCAGUUCAUGCACAUAACAUACCAUUUAUCAUCUGCCGCAUGCCAGGUCGUGUGCUAGGGGCUGACUAAUGCAUGUGGUGAACAGAGUAGACACUCUCUCUGGCCUCAUUGAUCCUAGUGGGUGCAGCAGAAGCUGAUGACAUACCUCUGCAUGUGGUUUUUACGAUUCACUUUUGUAGCCUUACAAACUUACAAACUCCCAUUUCCCCUCAAAGCGUGAUAACAGUUGGGCCUGGCCUAGACUUGGGGUUCGGGAAGGCCUGUCAGGGGAGACGAUGCUGCACAGAAGCAGGAAGAGUCCCAGAAGAGGGAAAGUGGGAAGGGCUAACAAAACCCAGGAUGCUGGAACAUAAAAAAUGGGUGAGUCACACAAGAGGAACCCCAAAAUAGCCCAAGCUGGAUGAUGCAGAGCUUCAAAAGUCACAGUAAGGAUUUGGAGUUUAGUGCUCGUGUCCUGGGAAGCUAGAGAAGGGCUUUUCAGGGACGAGAUAUGAGCUGAGAGAGAUGUUAAGUGGUGCCAGAGAAGAGUGGUGUGACAAAGAUGUGACACCCUGACAUCAUUCUUACCGAGGGUUCUUACCACAAAGCAGGGCAGGGAGGUGCUGGGGUGAGACCCCAGUCUCCUGGCAUUUAGUUCCAUGCUCUUUGACUUUUACUUCUCUGCCCAUGAGUUAAAGUGCUCACAAAAAUCCAGGCAAAACUUUUCAUUUAAACAUGUUGGAUUGCCAUGCAUUUGUUUUUCCCUGCCCCAGAAAUGUCUGUGCAGAAAUAAAAAUACAACAAAUUCACAGAGGAAAAAAAUAGAAGAUAAAACUUUUUUUAAAAGAGGAAAUAAAUAAUAAAAUAAAAAUGUUGAUAAUGAAAAAUGGAUGAGAGAAGAUAACUCGGUUGACAGAAUGGAGGAGGAGGAAACACAUGUGUCCACAAAAAGAAAAACAAAGUGGGAGGCGAAAGAAAAGCAAGCUGAUGUCCCACAACAGGCUCCUGGAAAUGCUCAAAAUUGAGGGUAGAUGUCUCCUUUUAAAAACAGCAGGACCACCUAAAAGUCUGUAUAAAGAAAAUUUCCAUCCCAAGUUGCCCUUUCUCCACUAAAUGGCAGGUGGAAGGUUCCUUCUCAGGAGAAAUUGAACCAGAGAGUCUCUUGGAGUGGCAGACGACAUAGAUGGGAGGAGGAGGUGCCCUCUGAAGCCUUCAGUCAGCAGAGGGAUGGCACUGCCCCUUCAGACUUUCUGAGACAUCAGAAGAGUUCUAUGUGAUUCACAUAGAGCAGAGUUCGGCGUUGCAGACAAAUCAAAGGCCUACCACAAAUUUGACUUAAUGAAUCACUUUGACUUUGUUACUGAGUUUACUCAUCUAUUGAACAAGAGGAGAACAGAUCUCUGACUGCUGAAGUAUAAAUACAAACAACGGAGUCAAAUUGGAAAUAGGAUAA
RNAcentral lists this long non-coding RNA (2882 nucleotides) under Homo sapiens (human). RNAcentral's name for it is "HSALNT0344232". Lineage: Eukaryota; Metazoa; Chordata; Mammalia; Primates; Hominidae. The record is from RNAcentral.